RNAcentral lists this transfer RNA (74 nucleotides) under Acidobacteriota bacterium. RNAcentral describes it as "Acidobacteria bacterium tRNA-Arg". It matches the Rfam family "tRNA". Rfam says of the family: Transfer RNA (tRNA) molecules are approximately 80 nucleotides in length. Their secondary structure includes four short double-helical elements and three loops (D, anti-codon, and T loops). Further hydrogen bonds mediate the characteristic L-shaped molecular structure. tRNAs have two regions of fundamental functional importance: the anti-codon, which is responsible for specific mRNA codon recognition, and the 3' end, to which the tRNAs corresponding amino acid is attached (by aminoacyl-tRNA synthetases). tRNAs cope with the degeneracy of the genetic code in two manners: having more than one tRNA (with a specific anti-codon) for a particular amino acid; and 'wobble' base-pairing, i.e. permitting non-standard base-pairing at the 3rd anti-codon position. Lineage: Bacteria; Pseudomonadati; Acidobacteriota. The record is from RNAcentral.
GCGCCUGUAGCUCAAUCGGAUAGAGCAGCGGUUUCCUAAACCGCAGGUUGGGGGUUCAAUUCCCUCCAGGCGCG